Molecule: ribosomal RNA, 253 nt
Filed under: uncultured bacterium
Lineage: Bacteria
Description: partial 16S ribosomal RNA
Rfam family: Bacterial small subunit ribosomal RNA
Source: RNAcentral
UACGUAGGGUGCAGGCGUUAAUCGGAAUUACUGGGCGUAAAGCGUGCGCAGGCGGGUUGCUAAGACAGGUGUGAAAUCCCCGGGCUUAACCUGGGAACUGCGCUUGUAACUGGCAAGCUGGAGUGUGGCAGAGGGGGGUGGAAUUCCACGCGUAGCAGUGAAAUGCGUAGAGAUGUGGAGGAACACCGAUGGCGAAGGCAGCCCCCUGGGCUAACACUGACGCUCAUGCACGAAAGCGUGGGGAGCAAACAGG